AUGGCUCAGGAUGAACGCUAGCUACAGGCUUAACACAUGCAAGUCAGGGGCAGCAUGUGGUGCUGCAACCAAUGAUGGCGACCGGCGCACGGGUGAGUAACGCGUAUCCAACCUUCCCCUUAGUAGAGGAUAGCCCGGCGAAAGUCGGAUUAAUACUCUAUGUUCUUCAAUGCGGGCAUCUAAGUUGAAGCAAAGAUUUAUCGCUAAGGGAUGGGGAUGCGUCUGAUUAGGUUGCAGGCGGGGUAACGGCCCACCUGGCCUACGAUCAGUAGGGGUUCUGAGAGGAAGGUCCCCCACACUGGUACUGAGACACGGACCAGACUCCUACGGGAGGCAGCAGUGAGGAAUAUUGGUCAAUGGGCGCGAGCCUGAACCAGCCAAGUAGCGUGCAAGGACGACUGCCCUAUGGGUUGUAAACUGCUUUUAUCAGGGAAUAAAGUGAGGCACGCGUGCCUUUUUGUAUGUACCUGAUGAAUAAGGACCGGCUAAUUCCGUGCCAGCCGCCGC
Molecule: ribosomal RNA, 507 nt
Filed under: uncultured bacterium
Lineage: Bacteria
Description: bacterial SSU rRNA
Rfam family: Bacterial small subunit ribosomal RNA
Source: RNAcentral